AACGAACGCUGGCGGCAUGCCUAACACAUGCAAGUCGAACGAGACCUUCGGGUCUAGUGGCGCACGGGUGCGUAACGCGUGGGAACCUGCCCUUAGGUUCGGAAUAACUCCCCGAAAGGGGUGCUAAUACCGGAUAAUGUCUUCGGACCAAAGAUUUAUCGCCUUUGGAUGGGCCGGCGUUGGAUUAGCUAGUUGGUAGGGUAAACGCCUCCAACGGGGAGGAUCCAUAGAUGGGUAGAGAGGAUGAGCAGCCACACUGGGACUGGGACACGGCCCGGACUCUUACGGGAGGCAGCAGUGGGGGAUAUAGGACAGUGGGCGAAAGCCUGAUGCACCAAUGACGGGUGAGUGAUGAAGGCCGUAGGGUUGUAAAGCUAUUUUACCCGGUAUGAUAAUGACAGUACCGGGAGAAUAAGCACCGGCUAACUCCGUG
Molecule: ribosomal RNA, 433 nt
Filed under: uncultured bacterium
Lineage: Bacteria
Description: partial 16S ribosomal RNA
Rfam family: Bacterial small subunit ribosomal RNA
Source: RNAcentral